RNAcentral lists this ribosomal RNA (587 nucleotides) under uncultured Streptococcus sp. RNAcentral's name for it is "bacterial SSU rRNA". It matches the Rfam family "Bacterial small subunit ribosomal RNA", at positions 338 to 916 of the family's 1533-position model. Lineage: Bacteria; Bacillati; Bacillota; Bacilli; Lactobacillales; Streptococcaceae. The record is from RNAcentral.
CCUACGGGAGGCAGCAGUAGGGAAUCUUCGGCAAUGGACGAAAGUCUGACCGAGCAACGCCGCGUGAGUGAAGAAGGUUUUCGGAUCGUAAAGCUCUGUUGUAAGAGAAGAACGGGUGUGAGAGUGGAAAGUUCACACUGUGACGGUAUCUUACCAGAAAGGGACGGCUAAACUCGUGCCAGCAGCCGCGGUAAUACGUAGGUCCCGAGCGUUGUCCGGAUUUAUUGGGCGUAAAGCGAGCGCAGGCGGUUAUGAAAGUCUGAAGUUAAAGGCUGUGGCUUAACCAUAGAACGCUUUGGAAUACGUUUAACUUGAGUGCAGAAGGGGAGAGUGGAAUUCCAUGUGUAGCGGUGAAAUGCGUAGAUAUAUGGAGGAACACCGGUGGCGAAAGCGGCUCUCUGGUCUGUAACUGACGCUGAGGCUCGAAAGCGUGGGGAGCGAACAGGAUUAGAUACCCUGGUAGUCCACGCCGUAAACGAUGAGUGCUAGGUGUUAGGCCCUUUCCGGGGCUUAGUGCCGCAGCUAACGCAUUAAGCACUCCGCCUGGGGAGUACGACCGCAAGGUUGAAACUCAAAGGAAUUGACGG